AGUGGCGGACGGGUGCGUAACGCGUAGGAAUCUGCCUGUUAGUGGGGGACAACUUGGGGAAACUCAAGCUAAUACCGCAUACGCCCUACGGGGGAAAGCGGGGGACCUUCGGGCCUCGCGCUAACAGAUGAGCCUGCGUUGGAUUAGCUAGUUGGUAGGGUAAAGGCCUACCAAGGCGACGAUCCAUAGCUGGUCUGAGAGGACGAUCAGCCACACUGGGACUGAGACAUGGCCCAGACUCCUACGGGAGGCAGCAGUGGGGAAUAUUGGACAAUGGGCGCAAGCCUGAUCCAGCAAUACCGCGUGUGUGAAGAAGGCCUGAGGGUUGUAAAGCACUUUUAAUCGGGAGGAAUAGCGGUCGGUUAAUACCCGGUCGUCUGACAUUACCGAUAGAAAAAGCACCGGCUAACUCCGUGCCAGCAGCCGCGGUAAUACGGAGGGUGCGAGCGUUAAUCGGAAUUACUGGGCGUAAAGCGUGCGUAGGCGGUUGCUUAAGUCAGAUGUGAAAGCCCCGGGCUUAACCUGGGAACUGCAUUUGAUACUGGGCGACUAGAGUUGAGUAGAGGAGAGUGGAAUUUCAGGUGUAGCGGUGAAAUGCGUAGAGAUCUGAAGGAACACCAGUGGCGAAGGCGACUCUCUGGACUCAAACUGUCGCUGAGGUACGAAAGCGUGGGUAGCAAACAGGAUUAGAUACCCUGGU
RNAcentral lists this ribosomal RNA (700 nucleotides) under uncultured bacterium. RNAcentral's name for it is "bacterial SSU rRNA". It matches the Rfam family "Bacterial small subunit ribosomal RNA", at positions 94 to 791 of the family's 1533-position model. The record is from RNAcentral.